RNAcentral lists this ribosomal RNA (253 nucleotides) under uncultured bacterium. RNAcentral describes it as "partial 16S ribosomal RNA". It matches the Rfam family "Bacterial small subunit ribosomal RNA", at positions 524 to 776 of the family's 1533-position model. The record is from RNAcentral.
UACGUAGGGGGCUAGCGUUGUCCGGAAUCAUUGGGCGUAAAGCGCGUGUAGGCGGCCCGGUAAGUCCGCUGUGAAAGUCCAGGGCUCAACCCUGGGAUGCCGGUGGAUACUGUAGGGCUCGAGUCCGGAAGAGGCGAGUGGAAUUCCUGGUGUAGCGGUGAAAUGCGCAGAUAUCAGGAGGAACACCAAUGGCGAAGGCAGCUCGCUGGGACGUGACUGACGCUGAGACGCGAAAGCGUGGGGAGCAAACAGG